Molecule: ribosomal RNA, 253 nt
Filed under: uncultured bacterium
Lineage: Bacteria
Description: partial 16S ribosomal RNA
Rfam family: Bacterial small subunit ribosomal RNA
Source: RNAcentral
UACGGGGGGAGCAAGCGUUGUUCGGAUUACUGGGCGUAAAGGGCGCGUAGGCGGUCGUGACAAGUCACUUGUGAAAUCUCCGGGCUUAACUCGGAACGGUCAAGUGAUACUGUCGGACUAGAGUACAGAAGGGGCAACUGGAAUUCUCGGUGUAGCGGUGAAAUGCGUAGAUAUCGAGAGGAACACCUGCGGCGAAGGCGGGUUGCUGGGCUGAUACUGACGCUGAGGCGCGAAAGCCAGGGGAGCGAACGGG